RNAcentral lists this transfer RNA (74 nucleotides) under Acidimicrobiaceae bacterium. RNAcentral describes it as "tRNA-Pro". It matches the Rfam family "tRNA". From Rfam's summary of the family: Transfer RNA (tRNA) molecules are approximately 80 nucleotides in length. Their secondary structure includes four short double-helical elements and three loops (D, anti-codon, and T loops). Lineage: Bacteria; Bacillati; Actinomycetota; Acidimicrobiia; Acidimicrobiales; Acidimicrobiaceae. The record is from RNAcentral. RNAcentral also lists the same sequence under 2 other names.
CGGGACGUGGCGCAGCCAGGUAGCGCACCUGCUUUGGGAGCAGGGGGUCGCCGGUUCAAAUCCGGCCGUCCCGA